CCUACGGGUGGCAGCAGUGAGGAAUAUUGGUCAAUGGUCUGACGCCUGAACCAGCCAAGCCGCGUGAGGGAAGAAGGUACAGCGUAUCGUAAACCUCUUUUGUCAGGGAACAAAGACUGGGACUAGUCCCCGGAUGAGGGUACCUGAAGAAAAAGCAUCGGCUAACUCCGUGCCAGCAGCCGCGGUAAUACGGAGGAUGCGAGCGUUAUCCGGAUUUAUUGGGUUUAAAGGGUGCGCAGGCGGUCUGUUAAGUCAGCGGUAAAAGCCCGGGGCUCAACCCCGGCGAGCCGUUGAAACUGGCAGUCUGGAGUUGGAGAGAAGUACGCGGAAUGCGCGGUGUAGCGGUGAAAUGCUUAGAUAGCGCGCAGAACCCCGAUUGCGAAGGCAGCAUGCCGGCUCCACACUGACGCUGAGGCACGAAAGCGUGGGUAUCGAACAGGAUUAGAUACCCGAGUAGUC
Molecule: ribosomal RNA, 459 nt
Filed under: uncultured bacterium
Lineage: Bacteria
Description: partial 16S ribosomal RNA
Rfam family: Bacterial small subunit ribosomal RNA
Source: RNAcentral